AUUGAACGCUGGCGGCAGGCCUAACACAUGCAAGUCGAGCGGAUGAAGGGAGCUUGCUCCUGGAUUCAGCGGCGGACGGGUGAGUAAUGCCUAGGAAUCUGCCUGGUAGCGGGGGAUAACGUCCGGAAACGGGCGCUAAUACCGCAUACGUCCCGAGGGAGAAAGUGGGGGAUCUUCGGACUUCACGCUAUCAGAUGAGCCUUGGUCGGAUUAGCUAGUUGGUGGGGGAAAGGCCUACCAAGGCGACGAUCCGUAACGGGUCUUAGAGGAUGAUCAGUCACGCUGGAGCUGAGACACGGUUCGGACUCGUACGGGAGGCAGGAGUGGGGAGUAUUGGAGAAUGGGCGAAAGCCUGAUCAAGCCAUGCCGCGUGUGUGAAGAAGGUCUUCGGAUUGUAAAGCACUUUAAGUUGGGAGGAAGGGCAGUAAGUUAAUACCUUGCUGUUUUGACGUUACCAACAGAGGAAGCACCGGCUAACUUCGU
Molecule: ribosomal RNA, 483 nt
Filed under: uncultured bacterium
Lineage: Bacteria
Description: partial 16S ribosomal RNA
Rfam family: Bacterial small subunit ribosomal RNA
Source: RNAcentral